Molecule: small nuclear RNA, 309 nt
Filed under: Salvator merianae (Argentine black and white tegu)
Lineage: Eukaryota; Metazoa; Chordata; Lepidosauria; Squamata; Teiidae
Description: 7SK RNA (ENSSMRG00000012727.1)
Rfam family: 7SK RNA
About the family: 7SK was discovered as an abundant small nuclear RNA in the mid-70s but a possible function has only recently been suggested.
Source: Rfam by way of RNAcentral
AGACACGAGGGUGAUCUGACUGCAACAUCUGUCACCCCAUUGAUCUUGAGGGUUGAUUUGGUUGAUCUGGCCGGCAAGGUGGAUGUCUUCUUCCUCCAUCAUCACUCCAUAAGGGUCCUUCUCAAAACUGUGUGCUUGGUAGCGGAAGAUGACCUCCUUAGAGAGAAGAAGUGCGCCAUUCUUUAGCCAAAGGUGUAUGAUGGCUGUGAUCCUGUGCUAGAACUUCCAAACAAACACAAGCCAUUCUUCAGGGACAAGCCAUUCUUCCUCUGCCUCACUUUCCAAAUGCCAAUCUCCUUCAGGAAUUUG